Molecule: ribosomal RNA, 497 nt
Filed under: uncultured bacterium
Lineage: Bacteria
Description: partial 16S ribosomal RNA
Rfam family: Bacterial small subunit ribosomal RNA
Source: RNAcentral
GAUGAACGCUGGCGGCGUGCCUAAUACAUGCAAGUCGAGCGAACAGAUGAGGAGCUUGCUCCUCUGACGUUAGCGGCGGACGGGUGAGUAACACGUGGAUAACCUACCUAUAAGACUGGGAUAACUUCGGGACACCGGAGCUAAUACCGGAUAAUAUAUUGAACCGCAUGGUUCAAUAGUGAAAGACGGUUUUGCUGUCACUUAUAGAUGGAUCCGCGCCGCAUUAGCUAGUUGGUAAGGUAACGGCUUACCAAGGCAACGAUGCGUAGCCGACCUGAGAGGGUGAUCGGCCACACUGGAACUGAGACGCGGUCCAGGCUCCUACGAGAGGCAGCAGUAGGGAAUCUGCCGCAAUGGGCGAAAGCCUGACGGAGCAACGCCGCGUGAGUGAUGAAGGUCUUCGGAUCGUAAAACUCUGUUAUUAGGGAAGAACAAAUGUGUAAGUAACUAUGCACGUCUUGACGGUACCUAAUCAGAAAGCCACGGCUAACUACGUG